UUUCAAAUACUUACAUUAAAACUUUUCAUUGAAAAUGUUGAGGAUAAACCAAAAACCUUAAAUUAAUACUGAAGAUAUAAAUUGAAUAAUUAUUUAACAUACAAAUAUGUAAGCAUAAUGAAUUUUAUAUGUUAUGCAAUGACCUGUAUCAGAUUUGGAUUAGUGGGCAAAUGGUCACAGAGUCACUGGUAAAACACACACAAUUACUAUUUCAUUCCCCAGAGCCGCAGUCCACACAGUUUACCUGGGUCUUGCUCAGAGUUGGAACUCAGAUGACAGCUUCAUUUGGAGGGUGGUAGUCACACCAGAGGCUCACUUGGGAAAAGGUCUGUAUCCAGACUUGUGGGUUUGGAUGUAACACUUUAUUCUCCUCUGGCUGUCACUCUUGGAUAUCUUUAGUAAGGGAGGAUGAUAUGUUUCCUUGUCACCUGAUUCUUACAGAAUUCUAGCUGGCUUAUUCAAAAUCAACAGUCUCCCAAUCUGUUCUGCUAGGGUAUUGUUAUAUAAUUCAAUUAAAAGUUAAAAAUCCUAUCCUGUGUGCAGUACUCGGUUGGUUAGAAGCAAGGGACAGGAGGCUGUAUGGCAAAGGGAGUAUGACUAAAAUACUUGCUCACAUCUCAUUAAAGGAGAAAGCAGAGAGCAGGUAAUGCUGUUACUCAGCUUAUGUUAUCCCUGAUCUUGGUUGUCAACUUGACCACAUCUGGAAUCAAGUAAAGCCCAAACAGUUGGGCAUAGCUGUGAAGAAUUUUCUUUAUUAGAUCAUUUGAGGUGAGAAGACACAUUCUAAAUCUGGGCUAGACCUUAUGGUGGCAGUCUACAUAAAAGGACAGAAGAAAGAUUUUGCUUUUUGUCUGCUUACCCUCACUCUUGUUGGCAAGUUCAUCUAUUCUGCAGAUGAGGCAUUACUUCACUGGUAUUAGAACUUAUUUCUUCAGGAUCCCAACAUAGACUGAAGACAAGCUGAGACAUCCAGCCACAUGCACUGAACAACUACCAGAUUCUUGGCCUUUCUGUCAGAAGGCAGCCAUGAUUGGACUAUCUCAACCAUAGCCUAAUGUGGAAUAGUCAAGAAAGCCUUCAUAACACAGAUCUUGGAACAAGUCAUGAAAAUGGAUACGACUUCAUGAACCAAAUUAGAGAAGGAGAUACAGUCCCUGAAGAUUACUCAAGAUUGAAACUCAGAUGGCAUUAACGACUCAAUUCUAAAGACAACAAAUUAAAGACUGUACUGAGCUGGGUGGUGGUGGCACACGCCUUUAAUCCCAACACUCAGGAGGCAGAGCCAGGGGGAUCUCUGUGAG
Peromyscus californicus insignis is the source of this 1301-nucleotide long non-coding RNA. RefSeq lists it as uncharacterized. The record is from RefSeq and is a predicted model, not a curated record. Lineage: Eukaryota; Metazoa; Chordata; Mammalia; Rodentia; Cricetidae. The transcript has 3 exons.